This 597-nucleotide long non-coding RNA is filed under the name Serinus canaria (Common canary). RNAcentral's name for it is "lncRNA (ENSSCAG00000002991.1)". The record is from RNAcentral. Lineage: Eukaryota; Metazoa; Chordata; Aves; Passeriformes; Fringillidae.
GCGGACGGGGCUGAGGUGACGCCCGGAGGCCGGUCGGGCUGCCCGUGCCGGGACCGGAGCUUCUGUCGUACCGGCAAUGCUCGGUCUCGUCGUUCUUACCUGUGCACUUGACUAGCGAUCCAGAUGGAAUUGCAUGACUGUGAUCGGCGCGGCUUUCGCAGUAAAGGGAAGCCCAUAAACGCGGUGAAUGUCACGGUCUCUUCUGCGGCCGUUCACCGAGGGCCGGCGUGAGGAGGGGCUGCCUGCGCUGUGGAAGCCUCUCAGUCCCGGUCGCGGGACAGCGGAGCGCAGGCGGAACCAGCUUCUCCUGGGGAGGAGGGUGCCUGGGGUAAGAGGCUCAGAGACCAUCCUGACAUCACUGCAACCAUGAUUUCACCAGGAUAAUGUACUGGAAGGUUAUUGUCAUAUUACUCCUGGAAAGAGGCCUGAACAGAUGGUGGGCCACUCCCAGUCCAAGGCCUGACUUCCACAGUGCUUCGUGGCUUUGGCCAAAUGGCAGUUGUGGAAUCUGUGCACAUGAAGCCUCUCAAGGAGACCAUGCCUUGUAUUGCAGAUCAGUUACACGAUUCUGAGAUGGUAUAAUGAUGCAGCCUCAAG